Long non-coding RNA from Humulus lupulus (European hop), 1717 nucleotides. RefSeq lists it as uncharacterized. The transcript is spliced from 4 exons. Lineage: Eukaryota; Viridiplantae; Streptophyta; Magnoliopsida; Rosales; Cannabaceae. The record is from RefSeq and is a predicted model, not a curated record.
UUUAGUCAUUGCUCUCUUAAUUUUGUUGGUAGAAUGGUACGUAUCUAUAAUAUAUAUAUAUAUGUGUGUGUGUGUGUGUGUGUGAAUGACAUUUAUAUCAAACUCAGUCUGUAUUAAGAUAUCUAUAAUAGUGGCAGAAGAAAUUCGCACGACCAUUAAAAAGCUUGAAGUUUGAAAUACUGAAAAACCAAGUUUGAACUGAGUUAGUAUUUAUUUUUUAUUAUUUCUGUGUAGAAAAGGAAAAGAAUAAUCAUGGAGGCAUUCCUUGUUUUCAUUUUUGUCUUAAGUUUUUAUUUUUAUUUUUUGAGUAUUUGCUUUUAUUUCGCUGAUUUGGGCAUCGCGGGUCAGGGGCUCGGGCUCUCUCAUGCUAUUACUCUCUCACAUAUGGAUCUUAAUAGGAAUUGUUGAAGAGUGGGUUUUAGAAAUUUAUUUUCACUUCUUGGAAAAUCUGGGUCUGAGCUGCGUUAAAUGGUUUCAAGGUUCUCUCUCAAUAUCAUCUAACCCGGGUCUAAUUUCCAUUUUUGAAUUGGUAAACUAAAUGGGAUGCCAUUUAUAAUGGCACUGCUUGCUCCACAUGGUUCUAUUGUUCAUAGCAGUCUUUACAAGCACCACAAAUAGACCAAUUCCUACUGGGCUGUGAAUAAGUGACAAGUUUUAUGGGUCAUUCAACUUGGGGUUAGCAUACGAAUGGAAGUGAUAAGAUGGAGGAAAGGCCCUUGGACUUCAGAAGAGAUAAGAUGCUUACUGAAUAUGUGAGCUUGAAUGGUGAAGGAAGAUGGAGUUCUAUAACGCUCGGUCUGCAGCAUAGUGGGAUGAAGACACACACUUGAGAAAAUGAGACUCGAUACUCGAAAUCAAUGGGCAACAAAGUUUCUUUGAGGAGAUAAGUCGCAACUAGCGUAAUGUGUUAGUUGUUAGCUUUAGUUUCUUGUUUUCUCUGUACAUUGAUGUGUUUUAUAUAUAUUUGGUAUUAAAACUGGGUGUUUAAUUAAUAUAUAAUUUCACUAUAUAUAUAAAUUUAUAUUAGUUUUGGUUUUUUAAAUCUUAUGGAUUGGUAUUUUUGUGGACUUACUGGUUUGUGUAUCUACUUCUCUAUAUUUGUUGAAGGUAUGGCUCUAGUUUUUUCUAGAUCUACUUGGCAAUGAGCUUGGCAUCUUAUACAGGUAACUUGUAAUAAUGAAAUCCAUUGAUAAUCGUUUAAUUUAGCAAACACUAUUAUUGAAAUCGUCAACCAAAAAUUUCUUUCGCAUUUUGUAAUCUUAGUCAUACAGCAUGAAGUUUCAUGUUUCAUGGUAGCUAAUAAUCCUUGAGGCUAAAUCAAACAUAGACUUUCAUUUCAUUAGACUUUAGUUUGCUUGAAAGUUGAAAUCGUGUCUAAAGGACUUCAAAAUUGGUUAUAUAUUGUAUCAUUGUGUGUUCAUUUUUUUUAAUAAAGAGCUACAACUUAGUGUUUGAGGAACUAAAGAGAAAGAGUUGCUGCACUCAAGUCACUUCAACAUUAACUUGAGAAAUACAAGACAGAGUUGAACAACUCGUAUAAAAAUACUCGAGUAUACUUAUUACUCGAUCUUUUUGCAUAGAACUCAUUACUUUUAAAUUGAGAUUAUAUUUGUACCAAUCUGAUGAAAUAUAUUUUGUUUAAGUUUGUUAUGUAAUUUUUGCCUUUGUAAUAUGUAAAUUUGGUUUAUUUUUUAUUAUUGACUGUUGUUGGUGUAAU